UCUGUCUAUCUGUCUCUAACCCAAACACACCAAACAAAAUGGAGAAAUCAGAAGGAGAAGAGUGCUUGUUCAAGAUAGUGGUGAUUGGGGACUCAGCGGUGGGAAAAUUGAACUUGCUCUUGCGAUUUGCGAGAGACGAGUUCGAUUUGCACUCAAAAGCCACAGUGGGAGUAGAUUUUAGACCUAGGUGAUGGAGCUUGAUGGCAAGGAGAUCAAAGCCUAGGUCUGGGACACCGUCGGCCAAGAGCGCUUCCGCGCCGUCACCUCCGCCUACUACAAAGGCGUUGUUGGUGCUCUCGUCGUCUACUAUAUCACUCGCCGGACUACUUUCGAUAGCAUCAAGCAGUGGCUCGAUGAACUCAAGACUGCAAAAAUUGGAGAGGGAAUACCGUUAGAUCAUGGGACGGGUGUAGUUGUUGGCGAAACUGCUGUUAUAGGGAAUAGAGUUUCACUGAUGCAGGGGGCUUUGAGGUGUGGUUGAUGUUGUCUACCUCUUUGUGUUGAUGCUGUCUAUCUCUUGGUUUGCUGCUGCUCUAUGCUGUUAUACUAUUGUGUGUUUUGCUGCUGCUGUCUCUUUGAGUUGGGCUUUUCCAUCUCGUUGUUUGGUGCUGCUCUAUGUUGUUAUAUUGUUGUGUGUUUGCCGCUGCUAUCUAUAGUGGUUGCUGCUGCUCCGUAUUGUUUAGCUGCUACUGCUGCUGUGUUGUUAUAUGCUGUGUUGCCCUGCUUUGGUUUUUUGCUGGUUGGUUUCUCAUCAACUAGCUUUUGGCUAGUGCUAGCACAUGAUUGGGUGGCUUUCUUGUGCUAACCUGGUUGGGAUGAGUGUGUUUUUGUUGGGGGCAAAGCCGGAGUUGGCAAGUGCUAAAGUGUGCCCUCUAAUUUGCAAAGCAGCAGACUACAUGACAUGCGACUCGACAGGCGAAGAGAGGCUCAGUGCGCCAUGCAACUGUUGCUUAGCCGGGAAGGGUUGCACCAUCUACUACUCUGAUGGAACCUCUGCAAUCUGCUGAAACACAAUUACAAACUCCCUCCUUAAUAAUGAGAUUACAAUCUCAAUAGUUGUUUUGUUUGUGUCUUCAUAAAUAAAUAGUUUUGCCACGACUCUUUACUGUUUGUUACAAGAAAUCAUAUUUCAAAAACAUGUAUGUGUGUACUGUACUCUCUCUAUUGUGUAAUAAAGAAAUAGUUGUGCCUUUGCGCAACAAAUUUGAAUA
This is a non-coding RNA of Camellia sinensis, 1211 nucleotides long. Lineage: Eukaryota; Viridiplantae; Streptophyta; Magnoliopsida; Ericales; Theaceae. The record is from RefSeq and is a predicted model, not a curated record.